Molecule: ribosomal RNA, 118 nt
Filed under: Bacillus sp. BHET2
Lineage: Bacteria; Bacillati; Bacillota; Bacilli; Caryophanales; Bacillaceae
Description: partial 23S ribosomal RNA
Rfam family: Bacterial large subunit ribosomal RNA
Source: RNAcentral
UUUCCCAUCACGUAAGUGAGUAAGAUCCCUAGAAGAUGACUAGGUAGAUAGGUCAGAGAUGGAAGCAUGGCGACAUGUGGAGUUGACUGAUACUAAUCGAUCGAGGACUUAACCACAA